GCCGUGGUGGUGGAACUGGUAGACACGCUGUCUUGAGGGGGCAGUGGGAGCAAUCCCGUGCGGGUUCGAGUCCCGCCCUCGGCACCA
RNAcentral lists this transfer RNA (87 nucleotides) under Pseudomonadota bacterium. RNAcentral's name for it is "Proteobacteria bacterium tRNA-Leu". It matches the Rfam family "tRNA". From Rfam's summary of the family: Transfer RNA (tRNA) molecules are approximately 80 nucleotides in length. RNAcentral also lists the same sequence under 2 other names. Lineage: Bacteria; Pseudomonadati; Pseudomonadota. The record is from RNAcentral.